AUCAAGAUUACUGAGCAAAAAGAAAAUGUUAUUUUUCUGGCAAUAAAUGCUAGUAGAAAUUGAUUUCUUGGAUUCUUAUAUAAGGGUCAUUUAAACAACUCAUAUGCAACUUUCAAUAACUUCACCUGAAAUUAUAUUGCAGAAAUAGAGCUUAAAAUAUGCAGAGGAAGGGUUAACAUAUCUUUUUUCAAUAUCUGUUUUGUAAAUUGGCUUUUAAUAGGUGCUGGACAACAUGCGUUCAAAUUUUUAACUUCCCAAUGAAGACCUGAAGUGAUGAAAUUGAUAUUUUGUCUGGAAAGCUUGUAUAUGUGCCCAAAGAGAGAGCCAUUCCAACCCAUAGAGUUCCUGAAUCGAUCUUGCCUGAAGUAGAAAGUACUUGAGCUACUCCAGCCCUCAUCAUCUUUCUUAAGAGAGAAGGAGGAAGAUAGACCACAGUGAGUAAGGAUGGGUCAGGGUAGUUUAGAAUGAAGGAUAGGAUCUUUGGAAGUCUCUGUGGUUCCUGAACUGACCUUGCUCUCUUUUUGGCCCAGAAUACAGGAUCCCUGGAACCAGCAGACCAAGUUCAAGCUUCUCUUGUCAAUUCUGUUGUGCUACAAUUCUUUCCAUUUAUGUUUUGCAGUCACAGAGACACACCCAUUAAGCCAGGUUUCAAUGAAGAAAACUAGCCAAUCCAGUUACGACAUCAUCAUUGGUGGUGUUAAUAUGGAGACAGUUGCCUUCUUGUUACUCAAUAGGGUGAGACUUUGAAAGAGGCUUGGGCAUGUGCGUGGAGCCAAUGUGUCUGGCUUCAGCCACCUCCUUCUCUCACAUUGCCAAACAAAUAGAAGCAAAGAAACCAUCUCCUUAUUGUUCUCUUGCAUAAAUAGGCCAGCUGCCCAUGGGGGGAGGGUAGCGUCUACGCAUUUUAUGUGACCUGCUAUGGAAGGGUGGAGUUACUGUCUCAAAAUUCCUGCUGCUGAGAAUGGGGGAAAGGGACACUACCAACUAACUAAAGUAAAAGAAAAAGAACUCACCUGCAGACCUGCCAACUGCUGUUAACAGGAAAGAAUGCUAGAACAUUCGCUGCUAGCAAGGAGAACUGCAGCAAAUGCAGUUCAGACCACCAUGGGAGACUUGAAAAUUGGCAGCUCCUCA
Molecule: long non-coding RNA, 1134 nt
Filed under: Callithrix jacchus (white-tufted-ear marmoset)
Lineage: Eukaryota; Metazoa; Chordata; Mammalia; Primates; Cebidae
Description: lncRNA (ENSCJAG00000071137.1)
Source: RNAcentral